This 75-nucleotide transfer RNA is filed under the name Bacillota bacterium. RNAcentral describes it as "tRNA-Gly". It matches the Rfam family "tRNA". From Rfam's summary of the family: Transfer RNA (tRNA) molecules are approximately 80 nucleotides in length. Their secondary structure includes four short double-helical elements and three loops (D, anti-codon, and T loops). Further hydrogen bonds mediate the characteristic L-shaped molecular structure. tRNAs have two regions of fundamental functional importance: the anti-codon, which is responsible for specific mRNA codon recognition, and the 3' end, to which the tRNAs corresponding amino acid is attached (by aminoacyl-tRNA synthetases). tRNAs cope with the degeneracy of the genetic code in two manners: having more than one tRNA (with a specific anti-codon) for a particular amino acid; and 'wobble' base-pairing, i.e. permitting non-standard base-pairing at the 3rd anti-codon position. Lineage: Bacteria; Bacillati; Bacillota. The record is from RNAcentral.
GCGGGCGUAGCUCAAUGGUAGAGCGCGACCCUCCCAAGGUCGAGGCUGCGGGUUCGAUUCCCGUCGCCCGCUCCA